UACAGAGGGGGCCAGCGUUAUUCGGAAUUAUUGGGCGUAAAGGGCGCGUAGGCGGCCAUGCGUGUCUUCCGUGAAAUCCCUCGGCUUAACCGAGGACGUGCGGAAGAAACUGCAAGGCUCGAGUCCGGAAGAGGGGGGCGGAAUUCCCAGUGUAGCGGUGAAAUGCGUAGAUAUUGGGAGGAACACCAAUGGCGAAGGCAGCUCGCUGGGACGUGACUGACGCUGAGACGCGAAAGCGUGGGGAGCAAACAGG
This 253-nucleotide ribosomal RNA is filed under the name uncultured bacterium. RNAcentral describes it as "partial 16S ribosomal RNA". It matches the Rfam family "Bacterial small subunit ribosomal RNA", at positions 524 to 776 of the family's 1533-position model. The record is from RNAcentral.